Molecule: long non-coding RNA, 255 nt
Organism: Silurus meridionalis
Lineage: Eukaryota; Metazoa; Chordata; Actinopteri; Siluriformes; Siluridae
Exons: 2
Source: RefSeq, a predicted model, not a curated record
AAGAUGGCGAGCCAGACCCAGAUUUGCAAAUCAUCUUCUUCAUCACAUCAGUGAGGAAACCUUUUGAGUACAGUGACUCGCUGCCAGAGCGAACCUAGAACUGGUCCAGUAGCGCAGACAGUGGUGUGAUACCAGUGCUACAACAUUGCUACAAAUAGGUUUAAAUAUUUAAAGAAGCGGCAAUGAUUUUGCUUUUUUUUGCAUCGUAACUACUGUGUGUUACAAGAAUUAUUGAAUAAAUAAUUGUUGACAAUA